Molecule: ribosomal RNA, 343 nt
Filed under: Archidendron clypearia
Lineage: Eukaryota; Viridiplantae; Streptophyta; Magnoliopsida; Fabales; Fabaceae
Description: eukaryotic LSU rRNA
Rfam family: 5.8S ribosomal RNA (bases 1-87)
Source: RNAcentral
AAUUGCAGAAUCCCGUGAACCAUCGAGUCUUUGAACGCAAGUUGCGCCCGAAGCCGUUAGGCCGAGGGCACGUCUGCCUGGGUGUCACGCAACGUCGCCAAAGCCCUCAUCCUCUGGGCCUGGCGGAUGAUGGCCUCCCGGGAGCCUCGCCUCCCGGAUGGCCGAAAGAGGGGCCCGACGUGACGACUGCCACGAUCCACGGUGGUUGAGCGAACACUCGCUCGAGGCCAAGACGUGCGCGUGUCGUCCCACGGCAAGGGCCCGUCGGGUGGGCAUGCGACGGCAGAGCCCUCCGCCAGUACGCACGCGACCCCAGGUCAGGCGGGGCUACCCGCUGAGUUUA